Molecule: unclassified non-coding RNA, 329 nt
Filed under: soil metagenome
Description: partial contains 5.8S ribosomal RNA, internal transcribed spacer 2, and large subunit ribosomal RNA
Rfam family: 5.8S ribosomal RNA (bases 1-120)
Source: RNAcentral
GAUGAAGAACGUAGCGAAAUGCGAUAAGUAAUGUGAAUUGCAGAAUUCAGUGAAUCAUCGAAUCUUUGAACGCACAUUGCGCCCCCUGGUAUUCCGGGGGGCAUGCCUGUCCGAGCGUCAUUACAACCCUCAAGCUCAGCUUGGUGUUGGGCCCCGCCGCCCCGGCGGGCCCUAAAGUCAGUGGCGGUGCCGUCCGGCUCCGAGCGUAGUAAUUCUUCUCGCUCUGGAGGUCCGGUCGUGUGCUUGCCAGCAAGCCCCAAUUUUUUUCAGGUUGACCUCGGAUCAGGUAGGGAUACCCGCUGAACUUAAGCAUAUCAAUAAGCGGAGGA